CCUACGGGAGGCAGCAGUGAGGAAUAUUGCACAAUGGGGGAAACCCUGAUGCAGCGACGCCGCGUGAGUGAAGAAGUAUUUCGGUACGUAAAGCUCUAUCAGCAGGGAAGAAAAUGACGGUACCUGACUAAGAAGCCCCGGCUAACUACGUGCCAGCAGCCGCGGUAAUACGUAGGGGGCAAGCGUUAUCCGGAUUUACUGGGUGUAAAGGGAACGUAGACGGCAGCGCAAGUCUGGAGUGAAAUCCCAUGGCUUAACCAUGGAACUGCUUUGGAAACUGUGCAGCUAGAGUGCAGGAGAGGUAAGCGGAAUUCCUAGUGUAGCGGUGAAAUGCGUAGAUAUUAGGAGGAACACCAGUGGCGAAGGCGGCUUACUGGACUGUAACUGACGUUGAGGCUCGAAAGCGUGGGGAGCAAACAGGAUUAGAUACCCGUGUAGUC
Molecule: ribosomal RNA, 440 nt
Filed under: uncultured bacterium
Lineage: Bacteria
Description: partial 16S ribosomal RNA
Rfam family: Bacterial small subunit ribosomal RNA
Source: RNAcentral